RNAcentral lists this RNase P RNA (334 nucleotides) under bacterium. Its description in RNAcentral is "RNase P RNA component class A". It matches the Rfam family "Bacterial RNase P class A". Rfam says of the family: Ribonuclease P (RNase P) is a ubiquitous endoribonuclease, found in archaea, bacteria and eukarya as well as chloroplasts and mitochondria. Its best characterised activity is the generation of mature 5'-ends of tRNAs by cleaving the 5'-leader elements of precursor-tRNAs. Cellular RNase Ps are ribonucleoproteins. RNAcentral also lists the same sequence under 3 other names. The record is from RNAcentral.
GAUAUAAGUUGUUCUAUCGCUUCAUUAGAUUGAAGAGGAAAGUCCAGACACCACAGAGCAUCAUACCAAUUGAAAAAUUGGGCUAGACAGGCGAGAGUUUUUCUAGACAGAUAGUGCCACAGAAAAUAAACCGCUUUAAGUAAUUAGAGUAAGGGUGAAAAGGUGCGGUAAGAGCGCACCAGUAAAUUCAGUAAUGAAUUUAGCUUGGUAAACCUUAUGAGGUGCAAGAUCAUGUAUACCAGAGCUUAGAGUUACUCGCUCAAUCUGGAGGGUAGAUUGCACAGUUAAAUGAUAGAUUAAAACAGAAUCUGGCUUAUUAAAUCCUAUAUCAAAC